This 3186-nucleotide long non-coding RNA is filed under the name Marmota monax (woodchuck). Lineage: Eukaryota; Metazoa; Chordata; Mammalia; Rodentia; Sciuridae. The record is from RNAcentral.
AGAAGUUCUAAAAUGUUAAGUUUUAAAAAUAUAAUAAUAAAAAUAUUUUCUUACGAUAGGUGAUGUUUUACCCUAAAAAGAAAAAUAUUUCGAUAUGAAUCAUCAUGCUGCCCUUCUGUUGAAAAUAAGAAGCAAAAUGAAUGAGAGAACAGUUGUAAAAGUAGAUCAUCCUUGAAAGUAUGAAAAAGAAUAAAGUAUUAAUUAGACAUCUGUUUCCAGAAAAGCAUCCUUAGUAUGGGAUGUUGUUUAAAAGUUAAAAAUUCUGAGAGGUUUGCUAAUAUUUGGUCCCACUGCCUUACAGUACACUUUGGUGGUGGAACUCAGGUUGGAAAGUGCUAAAGAGCUAGUGUGUUGGGGUUUUUUAAUACUUUUAAGAUGUUUUGUCAUAUAAAUUUCAAUUUUUUCUUUGUAAAGAACGUAUUCAAAAUAAUUUAAGAGACAAACUUGAAUUUAUUGGCAGUGAUUUGCAUAAUGAUCAGAAUCAAUCUGCUUACAAUGCAAAUCUAAGGGAAGGUCAGAGAGCUGGAAGGCUCUGGAGCUCAAGGAAACCAGAUAUAAGAGAUUUAUUUUCCUGAGUAGCCAACUGUAGGGAAAAUUAAGCGAUCCCAACUUUGAGCAGCUGUUCCACUCAACAGUUAGAUUCCAGUGCCAGUACAUUUGACUGACCAGGCUUGGCUCAGUUACCUACCUCUGGAGUCAGCCACCUGGACCCUCGUGAACUGAGAGACAGGAAGUAGAGAUAGUUUACUUCCUGUAAUCAAGGUGAUCCUACACAAAUCAGAGGGGAUGGAUAUUGGCCACCCAAAACCCAAACAUACCAGCUCAAACCAUUGGUAUCCACUUAGCAACUGAGAAUAAUUCCAUCUUAAGUGCAAAAUUUUCUCAUUCUUGGUAAAUGUGGUCUGAGCACUGACUUAUUUUGCAGAAAUUGGAGUAGGAAACAGUUUAUACACCACAAUGGUAUGUGUCUAACCGAACAAAUUGGAUAAUGUGUUAAAGUUAGCAAGCCUUGCAAAAAGAAAGAAAAAUCCAAAGAAGCUUGGGCUAAUAAGGAUAUCUUGGUACCAUUACAUUACAGCCCCAGGAAACAAACUGAUGAAAUGUUAGUCAAUUUAUGUUUCAUCUCUCCCUUUCCUUUCUCCUAUCUCCUUAAUUUAAGACAGAUAUUGAUGCUUCUUUUGGAGAAAGCAUUUCUUAAAAUAGCUAAAAUCCUUCUCUAACUUCACAUUCACUUUACAUCAUUCGUUUCUUUCCUAACUAGAAGUUUUAUUGCACUAUGUAGAAGACACUCAAGCUAUUUUUCAGAAGAAAAAGACUUGGUAUACAUCAAGAAAACACAGACAGGACAAAGCAAUAGAGUUCUUACUUAGAAGAGAGAUUUACAAACACUGAGAAGUAGGAAUGUCUCUGAUUAAGAAUGAUUCUCUGGACAAUUCUAGUAUCUACAGGUUAUUGAGGCUAUAUAUACACUAUUUAUUAUGUUGAGGGGAUUUAAAUGUUUCCUUUCAGCAGACUGAAAAAUUAAAAGACAAAACCCUCCAGUUGAAGCUUCUCUGUGGCACGCUCAAGGAGUAAUAUGUCUGUAGUUUUGAUCACUUUGGUAACAGAAGUAGUUUUUUCCUUGAUUUUAUUUACCUAUGGUUAAUAUAAUCCAAAAACAUUAAAUGAAAACUUUGAGAAACCAUUCACAAGUUUUAAAUUGUGUGCUGUUCUGAGUAUCCCGAUGAGCUCCUACUGUGUUGCUCCCUCCUGCCCAGAUGUGAAUCAUCCUUUAUCCACCAUUCAUGCUGUUAUGCCACCUGUCUGUUAGUCACUUACUAGCCAUCUUGAUUAUCAGAUGGACUGUCACAGUAUCACAGUAUCCUUCAUUUACUUAAUAAUAUCACCAAAGGGUGAGAAUAGUGGUGCUAUUUUAUUGCAGAACAUUCUAUAAUGGUUCUAUUUUAUUAUUAGUUCUUAUUGUUAAUCUUUUGCUAAGCUUAAUAUAUAAAUCAAACUUUAACAUAGGCAUGUAUGUGCAGGAUAAAACAUAGUGCAUAUAGGGUUUUAUUCUCUUCAUGAUUUCAGGCAUCCACUAGGGAUCUUGAAACAAUCUCUGCAGGUAAAGGGGGACUGCUGUAAUGUGUGUAUGUAACAUGUAUGUAUUAAACACAGAUUACAUAUGUACUGUAUAUUAACACAAUAUGUGUGUCCUGCAUUCUUGAAAGUCUGCUCUUCUUAGCCCUCUAUUACAUUCUUGUAUUUCCUUAAUUCUUACUCUUUCUUUAUAAUUAUGAACCAUCUCGGUAUUUUCCAUGAUUCAGUUGUUGCUGUCUUUCCCUUUCAUACUCUCCAUAGGUCUUAUUUAAAAUUAUGGCUUUAACUAUCCAUUCUAUAGGAAUGAUUGAAGAGAUUUAGAGUUCAUAUAUAAAUUCAUUUAUGUAAUCAAUAUUUAUUAAAGACCUAUUAUAUAAUAUCAAUAUCUUUGUCUUAAAGGUUCUUUUCUUCUGAAAAUAGUUCAGCCACUCCAGUUCUCUUUUGGUUAAGGUUUGCAUGGAAUACCUUUGCCCAUCUUUUUAUUCUCAAUCUAAAUCUGUACUUGAUCCUAAAAAAUCUCUUGUAGACAACAUAUGGUUGGGUCAUUGCUUCCCCCCCCCCUCAAUUUGUCAAUCUCUGUCUUUUAAUUGGAGAGUUUAUUCCACUUAAAUUUAAUGUAAUUACUGUAUCUGCUACUUUGCAUUUGUUUUUGUAUGUCUGAUAUGGUUUGAAUAUUUGUGUCCUUCCAAAAUCCACGUUAAACUUAGUUUUUAUUUUGGUAAUAUUAAGAGGUGGGUCCUUUUGGGAGGUGUUAAGUCAUCAGGGCUCUGCUCUUAGAAUAGGAUUCAUGCUCUUAUAAAAAACUUUGGAGAGCUGCCUAACCCCUCCAACUCUUUGCCAUGAUCUUGAAUUUUCCAAGCUCCAGAACUGUCUUAGUGCUUUCCUUGGGGAUCACAAUUAACACAAUUUUUAAACAAAUUACGUUGAGUUAAUAUAAGCUUAAUUUUAAUAUUAAAAAUCGUGGCUUCUACAUAGUUUCAUCCUUCCCCCAAACUUAUGCUAUAUAAAUUACAUGCUUAUUUAUACAUGAUGUGUCUAUCAAGUAAGACUUAUAAUUGUGAUAUGUACUUGGGUUUUAAAUAAAAUUGAAAAAAAGGCAUUAUAAACAAA